Non-coding RNA from Aedes albopictus (Asian tiger mosquito), 72 nucleotides. The record is from Rfam. Lineage: Eukaryota; Metazoa; Arthropoda; Insecta; Diptera; Culicidae.
AGAUCGGCAGCUUAGUUGGUAAAGCACUUGUCUAGCGAAUAAGGGUCGUGAGUUCAAAUCUCACCUGAGCUG